Molecule: unclassified non-coding RNA, 637 nt
Filed under: Hevea brasiliensis (rubber tree)
Lineage: Eukaryota; Viridiplantae; Streptophyta; Magnoliopsida; Malpighiales; Euphorbiaceae
Source: RNAcentral
GAGCUGCAGAAGCUUUGUGAUAAGGUUCCAUCAUUUCCAGAUGAUGUUGCUAUGGCCCUUAUAGAGGAGGAAUUGGGAGAACCGUGGUCUAACAUCUAUUCUGAGCUUUCUCCGUCCCCAAUUGCUGCUGCAUCCCUUGGGCAGGUUUAUAAGGGCCGACUGAAGGAGAAUGGAGACUUGGUUGCUGUUAAAGUACAGAGGCCCUUUGUCCUUGAGACAGUGACAGUUGAUCUAUUCAUCAUACGGAACUUGGGGCUAGUUCUUCGCAAGUUUCCGCAGAUUUCCAUUGAUGUGGUUGGAUUGGUUGAUGAAUGGGCUGCCCGGUUCUUCGAAGAACUUGACUAUGUGAAUGAAGGAGAAAAUGGAACAGUUUUUGCUGAGAUGAUGAAAAAAGACCUUCCUCAGGUUGUUGUCCCUAAGACAUAUAGCAAGUAUACUUCAAGGAAGGUUCUUACAACAGGAUGGAUUGAUGGAGAGAAGCUAUCACAAAGCACCGCAAGUGAUGUAGGUGAUUUGGUAAAUGUUGGAGUCAUAUGCUACCUUAAGCAGUUGCUUGACACUGGUUUCUUCCAUGCGGAUCCACAUCCAGGGAACUUAAUACGUACGCCAGAUGGAAAGCUAGCUGUACUUGACUUUG